RNAcentral lists this ribosomal RNA (496 nucleotides) under uncultured Clostridiaceae bacterium. RNAcentral describes it as "bacterial SSU rRNA". It matches the Rfam family "Bacterial small subunit ribosomal RNA", at positions 8 to 504 of the family's 1533-position model. Lineage: Bacteria; Bacillati; Bacillota; Clostridia; Eubacteriales; Clostridiaceae. The record is from RNAcentral.
AGGCUUUGAUCCUGGCUCAGGAUGAACGCUGGCGGCGUGCCUAACACAUGCAAGUCGAGCGGAGUGCCCUAAGAGAAAUUUUCGAAUGGAUCUUAGACGCACUUAGCGGCGGACGGGUGAGUAACGCGUGGGCAACCUGCCCUGUACAGAAGGAUAACAUUGGGAAACCAGUGCUAAUACUUCAUAACACUUCUCGGUGGCAUCACUAAGAAGUCAAAGUUUUUUCGGUACAGGAUGGGCCCGCGUCUGAUUAGUUAGUUGGUAAGGUAACGGCUUACCAAGACGAUGAUCAGUAGCCGACCUGAGAGGGUGAUCGGCCACACUGGAACUGAGACACGGUCCAGACUCCUACGGGAGGCAGCAGUGGGGAAUAUUGCACAAUGGGGGAAACCCUGAUGCAGCAACGCCGCGUGAGCGAUGAAGGCCUUCGGGUCGUAAAGCUCUGUCCUAAGGGAAGAUAUAGACGGUACCUUAGGAGGAAGCCCCGGCUAAAUAA